AAACCUAAAUGAUUUGACAGUGAUUAUUUCAUAGAUGGGUAUGUAAUUAAAUCGAUACCACACGAAUUAUCUCACUUACAUUUAUCUUGUAUACCUCCGUUUAGAUUUUGUUUAUAAUAAAUUUAAUUAUCAAAAUAAAUAUAUUAAUAUAUCAGGUCAAGGUGCAGUUUAUAUAAGUUAUUAUGUACCACAUUAAACAAUAAUUAGUGGAUUUAAUUUGAAAAAAUUAAUUAAAAUGAAUUUAUAAGUAAGAAAAAGUAAAAUAUUUUCCUGAAAUACAAAUAAUCAUGUACACAU
RNAcentral lists this ribosomal RNA (297 nucleotides) under Opisthopatus cinctipes. RNAcentral describes it as "partial 12S ribosomal RNA". Lineage: Eukaryota; Metazoa; Onychophora; Udeonychophora; Euonychophora; Peripatopsidae. The record is from RNAcentral.